AGCGAACGCUGGCGGCAGGCUUAACACAUGCAAGUCGAACGAACCCUUCGGGUUAGUGGCGGACGGGUGAGUAACACGUGGGAACGUGCCUUUUGGUUCGGAACAACACAGGGAAACUUGUGCUAAUACCGGAUGUGCCCUUCGGGGAAGGAUUAUCGCCAUUAGAGCGGCCCGCGUCUGAUUAGCUUGUUGGUGAGGUAAAGGACUCACCAAGGCUACGAUCAGUAGCUGGUCUGAGAGGANGAUCAGCCACACUGGGAC
RNAcentral lists this ribosomal RNA (261 nucleotides) under uncultured bacterium. Its description in RNAcentral is "partial 16S ribosomal RNA". It matches the Rfam family "Bacterial small subunit ribosomal RNA", at positions 29 to 319 of the family's 1533-position model. The record is from RNAcentral.